RNAcentral lists this long non-coding RNA (7353 nucleotides) under Marmota monax (woodchuck). Lineage: Eukaryota; Metazoa; Chordata; Mammalia; Rodentia; Sciuridae. The record is from RNAcentral.
CGGAGCCGAAUCUGCCGACAACCGCGGCACCAGCACAGCCCUAGGGAGCAGACCCUGGCCUCAGCACCCGGCCCGAGCGCCCAGAGGAGAAUCAGCUGGGACCCUGCACUGAUUGAGAGCCUCCAAGGUAGGCGAGCCCUGGAGACCUGCGGGCAGCGCGCGCCAGGUGGGUGGGUGUCCCAGUGCCCUUGGAGCGGGUGUCCCCAGCGGAGCUCGGGGCACCAAGGACAUUUCCUGGAAAAGGGUCUUAGUGGAGAGAAAAGCUUCACCAAGGUAAACCUCUGUUCUGAGCCUGGGCGAGAAGUUUCUUUGCCCCAGAGAAGAGAAAGAGUUACCUUUCCCCAACAAAGGAACCAAUCUCUCCUUAGCCUGGCGCACACCUGAUUAUUUAUUUAGUUUGUUGUUAUCCAUUUCCUCUGUCAUAGGUCCCCGCGAUUUCUGUCUGCUAAUUUCAGGAGCGGUGGAGAAAAACUCUCUGGAAAACCGUCCCCUGUAUUCCAGCGUGGCAGUCACUGCGUCCUCAGUUUGUAACCGCCAAGAGGAAUGAGGGUGGUGGUCUGGCCCCUCAUUCAUUCAUUUCUCGCAGCUGCCAGCGCAGCAUCAGGACAGACCCCUGCUUGACAGUUUGGUACUGUUUCUGUUGAGGAGGCAUCUUAGAUAUUUUUGAAUUUCAUAUUGCAGAGCCCUAAGCAGCACUGCAAAGAAACAGUGUUACUUUUCCAAGAGUAGUACAGGACAAUGCAAAUGUCGUUUUGAGAUUGGGUGGUGCCAUAGUUGUGAAUUUCCAGCUUUUUUUUUUUUUUCCAAAAGAAAGAAGAAAAAAAGUCGAUGGAAUAUAAACCUCAGAACAUGCAACCAGCCCUGAGCAUAACCCAAGUUGAUCACCAUUAUAUUAUGGUCGUUUUAUUUGAGGAAUCAAACCUCUCUUCCUUUUUCGGUGUGUAAAGAGUAGAUGAGGUGUCAAACACAAAAGGGAGUUAUUCUGCAUUUGCAACAGAGGAAAGAUAAGCUGACCUUCUGUUUUUACCUAGUACCAUUAAAUAUUCAGCUCUAUGGAAAGACUGGUUUAACAGAAAUUUGAGCUGGGCUGGAUUGUCAGGGGCCCUAGCACACACAAUUGGAUCUGUUGUAAAGGUUGUUUCCCUCCCCCUCACAAUUUGAGAGUGAAGGUCCCUAACAGGGAGGAAUUUGGGCCUAAGGCAGUUAAGAUCCUAUGUGGUUCCUGUUCUAUUUAUGGAAUGAAUGAAAACAGGUCCUACUUCCUGGGACCCAAGCAAACUUGAUAAGUUUCUUACUUUUCCUUGCUUUUUUUUUUUUUUUAAAUUUUUUUUUUAUUGGUUGUUCAAAACAUUAUAAAGCUCUUGACAUAUCAUAUUUCAUACAUUAGAUUCAAGUUGGUUAUGAACUCCCAAUUUUACCCCAAAUACAGAUUGCAGAAUCACAUCGGUUACACAUCCACAUUUUUACAUAAUGCCCUAUUAGUAACUGUUGUAUUCUGCUACCUUUCCUAGCCUCUACCAUCCCCCCUCCCUCCCCUCCCAUCUUCUCUCUCUACCCCAUCCACUGUAAUUCAUUUCUCUCCUUGUUUAUUUUCCUUGCUUACAAAAUAAAUUAAUACCUUGUCCCAACUAAAAAGGGACUUUUUAAAUGAAUACUGAAGCUACUUCCUGAAUUACUAAUGGGCAUGUUGUUUAUUAGGCUAGUUAUUUACAAUGUGCUCAGCAGUGAACUUGAAUUCUAAUUUAAAGUUCGGCCCAAACUAAAAAAUGUAAGCUAGAUCUGGUAAAAAAUGAAAAAUAUGAGGUAUAUUUAUUUGGGAUAAUGACUGAAAAGGUUAAAAAUUGAGUUUUAAAGGAAUUCAAGAGUCUUGUAAAAUUGUAGUUUUGAACUGAGAUAUUUACAUCAAAAUUGUAUGAUCAUUUAUAGAUUGAACAUUUUUAUAAUGGCAAAAUUUUACUAUGGAUUUACUAGCAUGUUUAAAUGAAUUUACCUUUUACUAAGCACAAAAACAGCCAUCCACAUGGGUUUGGAAAACAAGUGUAUAUGGGGAUAUAUGUGCAUAUAUUCAGUUUUAGAAAAUAUUUGUAUUUGUUACAUCCAUGAUUUGGUGGAUAAAUACUGGCCUUGUUCACACAUUCAUUGGGCCAGUAUUUAUUGAGCACCUUUUAUACAGGUUACUGUAUUCUGUGUUGGAGCGCAAGGGGACAUAUCACUAUCUUAUUAUACAACAUUGGGGUCUUGAGGGGCACCCCAAGAUCACAGAUUAGGAACCACAUCAAUAACCAUCAGUUUUGAGAGUGACUAAACGUAGGUUGGUUUCCAAUGCCAUACUCUCUUACACUGAUUUAAAUCAUCAAUUCUAAAAAAUUAUAAAGAAGCUUUCAUAUUAUUCUGUUCAGUGAUCUCUCUCUCUCUCUCUUUCUCUCUCUCUCUUUCAGGUUGGGGAAAAAUUUAGGAAUCAUGUGUUCUAAUUUUAAUAUUAUUAAAUAUUGAAGUAUUAAACCUAAAAUAGCUAAACAUGGAUUUCAUACACAUUAAAUGGAAACUAAACUUGUACUGUGAAUGUCAGUCAUCUAGGUGAAAAAUAUCUUAAAAUGUAGAAAAUAAUUUUUCCUUUAAAUUAAAAAAAAUGUGACUACAAUUAUAUUUAUCCCAGAGGGGGGAAAAAGUCACUUUAUUCCAGUUAUACUUACUUUUUAUUAUUUUUUAAAAAACUACUUUGUUGGAAGUGUAAUUUACAUAACCAUAAAAUACACCCAAGUCCAGUUCAAUGAUUUUUUGUAAAUUUACAUGAUCAUAUAAGUAUCACCACAGUCCAAUUUUAGAUCAUUUCAUCAUUCCCCCAAAUCCCUGUUGUCUGUCUGUGGUCCCUCAUCUCCACCCCUCACCCUGGGCAACUACUUUUCUACUUUCUCUAUUUAGAUUUGCCUUUUCUGGACAUACCAUGCAAAUGAAGUCAUGUAACAAAUGCUCUUUAGCAUCUGUCUUCUUUGAUAUAGAAUAAAGUAUUUGAGGCUCUUUCAGGUGGUAGCAUAUAUCUGCACUUGGUUUCUUUUUAUUGCUAACCAGUAUUCAUUCAAUUUGAUGACUGUACCAUACUUUGUUAAUCAGUUGGUGGCUAUUUCUGCAAUUUUUUAAAAUAGUAAGAUAGAUAUAUUGGUCUGGCUUCCAUAGCAGCAUAAUUUGAAAAUAACUGACAUGAGCCUUCUUCUUAUUAGAUGCUUUGAUUCUCCUUCAUGAUUUAAAAUAUUAAUGCCAAGAGUUAAACACCUAGGUUCCUUUUAAGCAAGGGAGCUUUCCUAUGUGGAACUAUUUAUUUAGAGAACCAAAUAAGACCUUCUUAAUGUUGAUUUUUGGUGUGCCUCUUUAAGGAGUCAGAAAUCUUGAAUAGCAGUUCCCAGUUUAAAUUUUUUCUUAUACACUCCUUUUAUCCCGCCUUGUGCUACCAUGGCAGGUACAUGGCGGGGGUGGGGGGGGGCAGGUCAUGCUUGACAACUUAGAGAAAUUUCUCUACUUGAGUAGCAACCCUUCUCUAAAAAUCUGGCAGUUUUUGUGAAUCAAAAGAAGAAAAGACAGUAUCUUUCUGAAUGCCUUUCAGUUACUACUCAAAUUGAAAGUUCAUAUUGGGGAAAACAGAACAUUAAAAUAAAUAGCUUGAAGUUUAUUUUAUUGGUAACUUAGAAUCAAGAGAUUUUCUUAAACAUCUAAAAUCUGAAAAUAAGACAGCCUAGUAGGUCAAAUAAUAUGGCUUUCCAAAGCUAAAUGUGUUCCUGUGGAAUUCUGUUUUUGUCUGAAAUGUCCAAACAACUUCCUCUAAUUCUUAGGUGAAGGCAGAAGUUUAGUGAUCAAUCUCAGUUGGUAGCAACACCCCCAUCCUUGGGCAGGAUUUUAAGAAUUCUAAAACUGAUAUAUUUUUCUUGCCUCAUAGUGAUAACUUUAUUCUAAAUAUCUCCUAAGAAGUCUAUUCCGUUUUCAGGAAUCCACCUUCACCCUUCUUACUUUCACGUGUUUCAGGUAUCCAGGUGGAAACAUUCACCACGCUGUGUGGGUCCUCCAGGAGGACAAAGGCUUGAUGGGCCCAGCGCUGUGAGCACCUCUGACCUGGGUUCCCUAGGUAGUGAUGAUCUGGUAUGAGGAGCCUGGUGCCUCUCAGCCAGGACAGGCAGCUGCCUCUCAGCCUUGUAACUUUCUGGAUUUUAGUAGAAGGCUGCUCUCUGAUAAGAUGGACAUCUUCGUGGCACAGAAGGGUGAGCAGAGAGUGACCAAAAGGAGGUUCCAGGGCUUGAAUAGACUUUCUACUCCUGGACCCCAUCACUCACAUGCAAAUGGACAAAGAUGGAGGAUAAAAACAUGUUGUGCAUCUAAAAAAUUGUUAGGAAAGGGAUGAAUAGACAAGAGAAGGAAUCUCUCAUUUGUGUUUAGAUUUAAUUCUUGUUGCAGGUGUUCAGGUCUUUCCAUCUAUCUAUCUUCCUUCCUUCCUUCCUUCCUUCCUUUCUUCCUUUCUUUCGAUUGAACUCAGGGGCACUUGACCACUAUGCCACAUCCCCAGCCCAAUUUUGUAUUUUAUUCACAGACAGGGUCUCAUUGAGUUGCUUAGUGCCUCAACAUUGCUGAGGCUGGUUUUGAACUGGUGAUCCUCAUCCUCCCAAGCCGCUGGGAUUACAGGCGUGUGCCACUGCACCCUACUUCUUGUAUUUCUUAUAUAUUCUAUAUAUUUCCUCCCACUCUUUCACCUUAGUAAAUAGCACUCAUCAUUAAUUUCCUUGCAAUGUCUAAAAGACUUUUGUGUCUGUUGUUACAUUAGAUAUCAGCUGUUACUAUCUUGAGCUUCAACAGUUCAACCUACCUACUACCAACAUACCUACCACCUCUCUACUUACCUGUUAGAGUUCACUUGGCUGCUCAUUAACAGUUCUGAGUUCAUUGCUGUUUCUUGUCAUUUACACUUUUUUUUGGUUAAUAUUUAAAUGAAGGAAAACAAAUUCAGUUCAUUGUGACUUCCAGUUCUCAUAAAAUCAGGGAGAGCCCUUGAAUUUAAAAAUCUCAAUUGUUUCUUACUUUUUCUGGGGUACUGCACAUUAUCAUGAAAAUAAAAAGUUUUAUAUGCUAAAUCUUUUUUUCCCUGUAUUGUAUUAUUUUGUAAGUUUUAGCAUAUGGCUACAGUCAUGGAACCACCAUCACCAUCAAGAUAUGAACAGUUACUUUAUUCCCCUCCAAGAUCCUCUAUUUCUCUCUUCCCCAUUUCCAGUUCCAAGCAACCACAGAUCUGUUUCUACUUCCUAUAGUUUUGAGGACCAUGCCUUUACUACGGACCUUUAGGGACCCUCCAGACCUAAACUAUAGUAAUUGAUUUUGUUGCUGAUUAAUAUUCGCCUUGAAUUGUUUCCAGUGUUGAUAAUUAAGAACAUCAGUGUUCAGGUUCUGUGGAGCAUACAUUUUUAUUUUAUUGGGUAGAUUGCUAGGAAUUGGAUUUCUGGAUUGUACAGUUUAACUGUAUAGGAAGCUGUCAACCUGUUGUCCAUAGUGGCUGUGUGUUUUGCAUUUCCAUCAGCAAUAGACAGGAGUUCCAACUGCCCAGCGUGCUCACCAGUACUUGGUAUUACCUCCACCGGCCAUGGCUAAUCUUAAAAUGAAGUAAAUUAUGUUGUAGCUGAAAUGCUCUGGGAUGAGGCUAGAAACCUAUAGAUAUUUUGUAAACAUCUGAGCUAUUGACUCUUAGAAGCUUUUGUAAAGCCACACAAGAAAUUUUCCAAAAGCACACCAUGUAAAUGUUACAGGUCCCUGUGGUAUACAUCACUGGCAUCUGCUUCUUCUCGUAUUUUCUUGACUGAUGAGUCCUAACUGACUUCUGGUUUGAUUUGUUAGUUGGGUGAUUUGUUAAAUGGGUGACAGAGGAAAAAACGAGGGACAAGUGAGCUUAGGUGUCGCCACUUUCAAAUUGAAAUCCUAUAAGUAAACGUCCUGUGGUUGUGAAUAUAAACAUAAUUAUUUAAUAUUCACUCAAUAUGCAUCAUGGCAGAUACUCUGUGAAGUCCUUUGAAUGCCUCGUCUCAUUUGAUGGCCACAUAAUUCCAUGAGGAGGUACACAUUCUCACAUGAAUUUUCAGAUGAAGGAGCUGAAGUCUGGAGAGUUUAAAUAGUUGUGUAAGGCGGCCCUGGGUAAGAAAGUAAAGUAGUCUUCUGGACACUACUGAUGGCAUCCAAUUCCUUUGUUUUUAAGCCACAAAGCUAUAUUGCCUGUGUUCCUAGAAUAAAUCUACUGGUAUAUCAAUAUCUGCUCAGGUUCCUGAAGGACACACUGGGACCCUCACAUCAGGAGUUCCUUGACGUGACUUAGAAACUCACUUUGAAAUACCUUGAGUCCUAUCUCAGGCCCAAGAAGAAGGCUUAAAAAUUUAUUCAGAAUACUGCCAAGGCACAGUGGUAAGCUGGAAAGAGCUAACCGACUCCAGGCCAGAGUCAGCCAGGCCUUGGGUUAGGAUGCUGUGACCCUCGUGACUAGCUGGCUGUCUUUGCUCAAUCUUGCUGAGCCUCAUUUCCUCGUCUGUAAAUACCACUACUGACCUCUCUGUGCUGCUGAGACAGGUGACAUAGUCUACCCAGCACAUUCUGGGCACUCCACAGAUCCUGGGCACUCCAAAGAUCCUCUCUCACACCCUCCUUCCUGAAUGAGAGGGGCUCAUAUGAUUUGUAUCUCUUUGUAACCUAGUUGUUGAGCUGGCCCUGACUGACACCUUCAGCUGUUUCAUAGUUUGAAAUCAGACUGUAUAGCCUGUUUCAGUACAAAGACAUUUGGACUUGAGGUCAGUCUGUCUGAGUUCAGGUUAUGAUGAAAAAAUUGUAUCGUUCCUCUUUGCUUUGGUUGCACUUAUUCCGUGCUGAGGACCAUGCCUAUAAGGUAGUAUUGUAAUGAUUGAUUGUGACAAUAUAUGGAAAAUGAUUCUUUGGUAAGUGGUACAGCACUUUUUUAACAGUAUGUAUUUGUACAUAGUAUUUGCACUAAUAUUUAAUUCCUUUUCCCUAUAAAAUAAAUAGCCAUAUUUCAUAUCUAAGAGUUUUAUAUAGGAGUAAAUUUAUGUGUAUGUACCAAUGAGAGAGUAGCACGUGGUCGAAUGAAGUUAAAUCUACUGAAGAAUGAAUUACCUCCACAAAGACUGGCAGACAGAAGUGGGGUUCAGUGAGAACAGGCACGUGUUUGGUGUAGUGUGUAUUAUUUCUAGGUAAGCUGCUCAGUCACCUGAGAUGGAGCCAGCUGACACUGGAUGUCACCAUUGUGCUGUGUAAUGUAGCUGUGGCACAGGUGUGCUGCUAAAGAUUCAGGGCAAGGCCAUUCUCUCUGAGGACUUGAAGGGA